RNAcentral lists this ribosomal RNA (1563 nucleotides) under uncultured bacterium. RNAcentral describes it as "16S ribosomal RNA". It matches the Rfam family "Bacterial small subunit ribosomal RNA". The record is from RNAcentral.
AGAGUUUGAUCCUGGCUCAGAUUGAACGCUGGCGGCAGGCCUAACACAUGCAAGUCGGACGGUAGCACAGAGGAGCUUACUCCUUGGGUGACGAGUGGCGGACGGGUGAGUAAUGUCUGGGGAUCUGCCCGAUAGAGGGGGAUAACCACUGGAAACGGUGGCUAAUACCGCAUAACGUCGCAAGACCAAAGAGGGGGACCUUCGGGCCUCUCACUAUCGGAUGAACCCAGAUGGGAUUAGCUAGUAGGGCGGGGUAAUGGCCCACCUAGGCCGACGAUCCCUAGCUGGUUCUGAGAGGGAUGACCAGCCCCCACUGGGAACUGAAACCCGGUCCCAACUUCCUACCGGGAGGCAACCGUGGGGGAAUAAUUGCCCAUGGGGGGCAGCCUUAUGCCGCCCUGCCCCGUGGAAGAAAAAAGGCCCUUCGGGUUGUAAAGUACUUUUCACGGGGAAGAAAGCGAUGCGGUUUAAAACCCCCGUCUAUUGGCGUUUCCCCCCGAAAAAACACCCGGUAACUUCCUGGCCGCAGCCGCGGUAAUACAGAGGGGGGGAAGCCUUUAUCCGAAUACUGGGCGUAAAGGCACCCCGCGGCUGGUUAAUCCAAUGUGAAAAUCCCCCGGCUUAACCUGGGAACUGCAUUUGAAAUGGGAGGCUGAGUCUUGUAUAGAGGGGGUAGAAUCCACGUGUUACGGUGAAAUGCGUAAAAAUCUGGAGGAGUACCGGGUGGGCGAAGGCGGGCGCCCUCGUGACAGGACUGACGCUCACGUGUGCAAAGCAUGUGGAGCAAACGAUAGAUACCCUGGUAGUCCACGCCGGUAAAACGGAUGUCGAACUUGGAAGGUUUGUUCCCUUGGAGGGAGUGGCUUCCGGGAGCUAAACGCGAUUAAUGUCGAACCGCCUGAGGGAUGUACCGGCCCGCAAAGGUUAAAAUCUCAAAAUGAAUUUGACGGGGGGGCCCCGCCACAAGCCGGUGGAGAGCCAUGGUGGUUUAAUUUCGAUGGCAACGGCGAAAGACACCUUAACCUUACUUCUUUGACAAUCCAGGCGAACUUUCCAAGAGAUGGAUUUGUUGCCUUUCGGGAACGCUGAAGACCAGGUGCUGCAUGGCUGUCCGUCAGCUCGUGUUGUGAAAUGUUGGGUUAAGUCCCCGCCAACGAGCGCAACCCUUUAUCCUUUGUUGCCAGCGAUUCGGUCGGGAACUCAAAGGAGACUGCCGGUGAUAAACCGGAGGAAGGUGGGGAUGACGUCAAGUCAUCAUGGCCCUUACGAGUAGGGCUACACACGUGCUACAAUGGCGCAUACAAAGAGAAGCGACCUCGCGAGAGCAAGCGGACCUCACAAAGUGCGUCGUAGUCCGGAUCGGAGUCUGCAACUCGACUCCGUGAAGUCGGAAUCGCUAGUAAUCGUGGAUCAGAAUGCCACGGUGAAUACGUUCCCGGGCCUUGUACACACCGCCCGUCACACCAUGGGAGUGGGUUGCAAAAGAAGUAGGUAGCUUAACCUUCGGGAGGGCGCUUACCACUUUGUGAUUCAUGACUGGGGUGAAGUCGUAACAAGGUAACC